RNAcentral lists this ribosomal RNA (475 nucleotides) under uncultured organism. RNAcentral describes it as "partial 16S ribosomal RNA". It matches the Rfam family "Bacterial small subunit ribosomal RNA", at positions 334 to 800 of the family's 1533-position model. The record is from RNAcentral.
CACUCCUGCGGGAGGCAGCAGUGGGGAAUUUUGGACAAUGGGCGAAAGCCUGAUCCAGCAAUGCCGCGUGAGUGAAGAAGGCCUUCGGGUUGUAAAGCCCUUUUGUCAGGGAAGAAACGGUGAGAGCUAAUAUCUUUUGCUAAUGACGGUACCUGAAGAAUAAGCACCGGCUAACUACGUGCCAGCAGCCGCGGUAAUACGUAGGGUGCAAGCGUUAAUCGGAAUUACUGGGCGUAAAGCGUGCGCAGGCGGUUUUGUAAGUCUGAUGUGAAAUCCCCGGGCUCAACCUGGGAAUUGCACUGGAGACUGCAAGGCUAGAAUCUGGCAGAGGGGGGUAGAAUUCCACGUGUAGCAGUGAAAUGCGUAGAUAUGUGGAGGAACACCGAUGGCGAAGGCAGCCCCCUGGGUCAAGAUUGACGCUCAUGCACGAAAGCGUGGGGAGCAAACAGGAUUAGAAACCCGGGUAGUCCCAUGA